RNAcentral lists this ribosomal RNA (492 nucleotides) under uncultured bacterium. RNAcentral describes it as "partial 16S ribosomal RNA". It matches the Rfam family "Bacterial small subunit ribosomal RNA", at positions 29 to 507 of the family's 1533-position model. The record is from RNAcentral.
AGUGAACGCUGGCGGCAGGCCUAACACAUGCAAGUCGAACGGCCGCACAGUAAGAGCUCGCCCUUACGGGUGGCGAGUGGCGGACGGGUGACGAAUACAUCGGAAUCUACUUUUUCGUGGGUGAUAACGUAGGGAAACUUACGCUAAUACCGCAUACGACCUACCGGUGGAUUCAGUGGAUCUUCGCACCUUGCGCGUUUGAACUAGCCGAUGUCGGAUUAGCUAGUUUGCGGGGUAAAGGCCCACCAAGGCGACGCUCCGUAGCUGGUCUGAGAGGAUGAUCAGCCACACUGGAACUGAGACACGGUCCAGACUCCUACGGGAGGCAGCAGUGGGGAAUAUUGGACAAUGGGCGAAAGCCUGAUCCAGCCAUACCGCGUGAGUGAAGAAGGCCUUCGGGUUGUAAAGCCCUUUUGUUAGGAAAGAAAAGCAGCAGAUUAAUACCCCGCUGUUCUGACGGUACCCAAAGAAUAAGCACCGGCUAACUUCGUG